ACGUAGGACGCAAGCGUUAUCCGGAGUUACUGGGCGUAAAGCGCGGGCAGGCGGACGCGCAAGUCGGACGUGAAAGCCGCUGGCUUAACUGGCGGAGGCCGUUCGAAACUGCGUGUCUGGAGGGCAGGAGAGGUGCGUGGAAUUCCGGGUGGAGUGGUGAAAUGCGUAGAGAUCCGGAGGAACACCAGAGGCGAAAGCGGCGCACCGGACUGCACCUGACGCUGAACCGCGAAAGCCAGGGGAGCGAACGGGA
This 253-nucleotide ribosomal RNA is filed under the name uncultured prokaryote. RNAcentral's name for it is "partial 16S ribosomal RNA". It matches the Rfam family "Bacterial small subunit ribosomal RNA", at positions 525 to 777 of the family's 1533-position model. The record is from RNAcentral.